AGCGAACGCUGGCGGCAGGCCUAACACAUGCAAGUCGAACGGAUCCUUCGGGAUUAGUGGCGGACGGGUGAGUAACACGUGGGAACGUGCCCUUUGGUUCGGAACAACUCAGGGAAACUUGAGCUAAUACCGGAUGUGCCCUUCGGGGGAAAGAUUUAUGGCCAUUGGAGCGGCCCGCGUCUGAUUAGCUAGUUGGUGAGGUAACGGCCCACCAAGGCGACGAUCAGUAGCUGGUCUGAGAGGAUGAUCAGCCACACUGGGACUGAGACACGGCCCAGACUCCUACGGGAGGCAGCAGUGGGGAAUCUUGCGCAAUGGGCGAAAGCCUGGCGCAGCCAUGCCGCGUGAAUGAUGAAGGUCUUAGGAUUGUAAAAUUCUUUCAGCGGGGACGAUAAUGACGGUACCCGCGGAAGAAGCUCCGGCUAACUUCGUG
Molecule: ribosomal RNA, 433 nt
Filed under: uncultured bacterium
Lineage: Bacteria
Description: partial 16S ribosomal RNA
Rfam family: Bacterial small subunit ribosomal RNA
Source: RNAcentral